GAUGAACGCUAGCUACAGGCUUAACACAUGCAAGUCGAGGGGAAACGGCAUUAAGUGCUUGCACUUUUUGGACGUCGACCGGCGCACGGGUGAGUAACGCGUAUCCAACCUUCCCAUGACUAAGGGAUAACCUGCCGAAAGGCAGACUAAUACCUUAUGGUCUUCACUGACGGCAUCAGAUGUGAAGUAAAGAUUUAUCGGUUAUGGAUGGGGAUGCGUCUGAUUAGUUAGUUGGCGGGGUAACGGCCCACCAAGGCAACGAUCAGUAGGGGUUCUGAGAGGAAGGUCCCCCACAUUGGAACUGAGACACGGUCCAAACUCCUACGGGAGGCAGCAGUGAGGAAUAUUGGUCAAUGGGCGAGAGCCUGAACCAGCCAAGUAGCGUGCAGGACGACGGCCCUAUGGGUUGUAAACUGCUUUUGUAUGGGGAUAAAGUCAAUCACGUGUGAUUGUUUGCAGGUACCAUACGAAUAAGGACCGGCUAAUUCCGUGCCUGCAGCCGCGGUAAUACGGAAGGUCCGGGCGUUAUCCGGAUUUAUUGGGUUUAAAGGGAGCGUAGGCUGGAGAUUAAGUGUGUUGUGAAAUGUAGACGCUCAACGUCUGACUUGCAGCGCAUACUGGUUUCCUUGAGUACGCACAACGUUGGCGGAAUUCGUCGUGUAGCGGUGAAAUGCUUAGAUAUGACGAAGAACUCCGAUUGCGAAGGCAGCUGACGGGAGCGCAACUGACGCUGAAGCUCGAAGGUGCGGGUAUCGAACAGG
Molecule: ribosomal RNA, 761 nt
Filed under: Prevotella melaninogenica
Lineage: Bacteria; Pseudomonadati; Bacteroidota; Bacteroidia; Bacteroidales; Prevotellaceae
Description: bacterial SSU rRNA
Rfam family: Bacterial small subunit ribosomal RNA
Source: RNAcentral